This 274-nucleotide ribosomal RNA is filed under the name uncultured bacterium. Its description in RNAcentral is "partial 16S ribosomal RNA". It matches the Rfam family "Bacterial small subunit ribosomal RNA", at positions 523 to 796 of the family's 1533-position model. The record is from RNAcentral.
AUACGGAGGGUGCAAGCGUUAUUCGGAAUUACUGGGCGUAAAGCGUGCGUAGGCGGUUUGCUAAGUCAGAUGUGAAAGCCCCGGGCUUAACCUGGGAACUGCAUUUGAUACUGGCAGACUAGAGUAUGAUAGAGGGGGGUAGAAUUCCUGGUGUAGCGGUGAAAUGCGUAGAUAUCAGGAGGAAUACCAGUGGCGAAGGCGGCCCCCUGGAUCAAUACUGACGCUGAGGUACGAAAGCGUGGGGAGCGAACAGGAUUAGAAACCCUAGUAGUCC